AGGCUGGAUAGUAAGAGGGAGGUAACGGCCAGGAGGGCAUUCCUCCUUACCCUCAGCCCUCACUCUGGACCGCCCUGAGCCAUAUCUGCUUCACCGGAUCUGUUCUCCAUGCCUCCAACUACAAGAAAUGACCUGGAGUACCCUGCUGACCUAGGAUGUUAUAAGAGAUGGCUCAGUGGUUAAGAGCACUCUCUGCUCUUCCAGAGGAUAUGGGUUCAGUUUCCAGCCACCAUGGCAGUUAACAACUGUCUGCAACUGCAGUUCCAGAGGGUCUGAUAUUCUUUUCUGUCCCCCAAAGCACUUUAUGCACACAGUACACAGACAUGCAUGCAAGUAAAACACCCAUGCAUCUCAGAUAAAAAUACAAGAAGUAUAGAAGCAAGAGGAAGAGGAGGAAGAAGAGGAAGAGGAAGAAGAAAAGAGAAAGAGAAGCAGCUCGUUUGAAUUCUGACUGGCAGGACAAAAUAAAACACUACAGACUCUGAUUUUUGCACAGCUGCGUACUAUGUAUUAGAACCAAGAAUAGCCAGCCAGCGCAAUGACACAGUGCGUAAAGGUUCUUGCCACCAAACCCGAUAACCUGAGUUCCAUCUUGAGGACCCACAUAGAAGGAGAGAACUGAUUCCUGCAAGAUCUCCUCUGACUUCCACACAUUCUUCAGUGGUACGUAUAUCCCUCCAAUAAAUGCAAUUUAAAACAU
RNAcentral lists this long non-coding RNA (700 nucleotides) under Mus pahari (shrew mouse). Its description in RNAcentral is "predicted gene 43608 (MGP_PahariEiJ_G0005795.1)". The record is from RNAcentral. Lineage: Eukaryota; Metazoa; Chordata; Mammalia; Rodentia; Muridae.